AGCGAACGCUGGCGGUAGGCCUAACACAUGCAAGUCGAACGGCAGCACAGUAAGAGCUUGCUCUUACGGGUGGCGAGUGGCGGACGGGUGAGGAAUACAUCGGAAUCUACUUUUUCGUGGGGGAUAACGUAGGGAAACUUACGCUAAUACCGCAUACGACCUACGGGUGAAAGCAGGGGAUCUUCGGACCUUGCGCGAUUGAAUGAGCCGAUGUCGGAUUAGCUAGUUGGCGGGGUAAAGGCCCACCAAGGCGACGAUCCGUAGCUGGUCUGAGAGGAUGGUCAGCCACACUGGAACUGAGACACGGUCCAGACUCCUACGGGAGGCAGCAGUGGGGAAUAUUGGACAAUGGGCGCAAGCCUGAUCCAGCCAUACCGCGUGGGUGAAGAAGGCCUUCGGGUUGUAAAGCCCUUUUGUUGGGAAAGAAAAGCAGCAGGUUAAUACCCCGCUGUUCUGACGGUACCCAAAGAAUAAGCACCGGCUAACUUCGUG
RNAcentral lists this ribosomal RNA (492 nucleotides) under uncultured bacterium. RNAcentral describes it as "partial 16S ribosomal RNA". It matches the Rfam family "Bacterial small subunit ribosomal RNA", at positions 29 to 507 of the family's 1533-position model. The record is from RNAcentral.